RNAcentral lists this ribosomal RNA (253 nucleotides) under Rhipicephalus sp. R25. RNAcentral's name for it is "partial large subunit ribosomal RNA". RNAcentral also lists the same sequence under 1 other name. Lineage: Eukaryota; Metazoa; Arthropoda; Arachnida; Ixodida; Ixodidae. The record is from RNAcentral.
GAAGUUUUUUUAAUUUGUGCAGAAACAAUUAUUAAUAUUAAGGACAAGAAGACCCUACGAAUUUAUUAAAUUUUAUUUAAUAUGUAAUUACUAUUAAUAAAAUUUUGACUGGGGCGGUUAAAAAAUAUUUCAAACUUUUUAAAAAUAAAAUGACCCAUUAUUAGUGAUUUUAUGUUAAAUACUCUAGGGAUAACAGCGUUAUAUUUUUUGAUAGAUCAUAUUGACAAAAAAGUUUGCGACCUCGAUGUUGGAU